AACGAACGCUGGCGGCAGGCUUAACACAUGCAAGUCGAGCGCCCCGCAAGGGGAGCGGCAGACGGGUGAGUACCGCGUGGGAACGUACCUUUUGGUUCGGAACAACUCCGGGAAACUGGAGCUAAUACCGGAUAAGCCCUAACGGGGCAAGAUUUAUCGCCGAAAGAUCGGCCCGAUUCUGAUUAGCUAGUUGGUGAGGUAACUGCUCACCAAGGCGACGAUCAGUAGCUGUUCUGAGAGGAUGAUCAGCCACACUGGGACUGAGACACGGCCCAGAAUCCUACGGGAGGCAGCAGAGGGGAAUAGAGGAAAAUGGGGGCAAGCAUGAUCCAGCCAUGACGCGUGAGUGAUGAAGGCCUUAGGGUUGUAAAGCUCUUUUGACAGGGAAGAUAAUGACGGUACCGGAAGAAUAAGCAACGGCUAACUUCGUG
RNAcentral lists this ribosomal RNA (431 nucleotides) under uncultured bacterium. RNAcentral's name for it is "partial 16S ribosomal RNA". It matches the Rfam family "Bacterial small subunit ribosomal RNA", at positions 29 to 507 of the family's 1533-position model. The record is from RNAcentral.